Molecule: transfer RNA, 74 nt
Filed under: Candidatus Portnoyibacteriota bacterium
Lineage: Bacteria; Candidatus Portnoyibacteriota
Description: Candidatus Portnoybacteria bacterium tRNA-Arg
Rfam family: tRNA
About the family: Transfer RNA (tRNA) molecules are approximately 80 nucleotides in length. Their secondary structure includes four short double-helical elements and three loops (D, anti-codon, and T loops).
Source: RNAcentral
GUGCCCGUAGCUCAAUUGGACAGAGUAUCUGGCUUCGAACCAGAAGGUUGCAGGUUCGAGUCCUGCCGGGCACG